Molecule: long non-coding RNA, 2208 nt
Organism: Pocillopora damicornis (cauliflower coral)
Lineage: Eukaryota; Metazoa; Cnidaria; Anthozoa; Scleractinia; Pocilloporidae
Source: RefSeq, a predicted model, not a curated record
GUUGUAAUGAAUUGUCCAUAGAAAGCGACCUGCAAAUGUUGUUGUUCGGAUAAACCAGUGAUCUUUUUGAGCGUUUCAAAGAAUAAUACUUGCUAUCUUUACAACGGGAAUCGUUAUCACAAUAAGAGUCAAUGGAUGAGGAGUUCAGCUGCUAAAAGUGACAGGAAAACGCCGCUAUUUCCUCAGACGAACUUCAGACGAAGAGUGCGCCUACAGCAAUAUUACUAGCUAACAAAGCGGACUGCUAAUCGUUUUGUUUCACGGACAAAUUGAGCACAUGACAUCAAAAGGCAUAGACGCCUAACUAAGACUACCUGCGGUGCUUCAGUUAGAUGACCCGUAGAGAUUUUAUCCAGAGCCAAUUGAGCGAACAGUGAUGAUACAAUCUGUUAUGGUAACACUUAUCAGCGAUGACAAACAAAAGGGUCACCCUGUUAUCAGAAAGAGUGAAUGCCGAUUGAAAGCUUUUAUAUAUGCUCAUCGUUACUCUUUCUUUGCAAGUUGAAGAGAGAAAAGGCAAGAAAUAUUCUCGAUGCGGGCAGGAUCUCUAGUUUUAAAGGCAAACAGGGCGGAGAUUGUUUUUUUUUUUUUUACGCAUCUGUUUAUUCAUUAUUUAUUUUUCUGAGCCAGGGACUUGUGCCGGCGGUUUUCCGGCGCUUUUCACGAUAAAUAUCAGCUACAAACAAACCAAUAAACUUUUCCAUCAUCAUAAUGCUCUUGCAAAGGUUGCAAGACCCUUUGGAAGAUUAUUCCAUCAUAGAUUUGACUACAGCCGAAGGUAAACAUCGUAAACAAGUAGAAUAAGAAAAUCGUGGCGGUAUCUUCAGUGAUAUUCGCGUUCCUUUCCUUGCAGAAAAAGCCUUUAUCUUAAUUUGACUCGAGACAGCGAAAAAAGCUGCAGCAAUUCCAUAAAAAAAUACAAUUCUGUCAGAUCAUUGAAGUUCAAACUUCGUGAUUUGGCGGUGUCUGCAAGGUAAUUUAUUUUCUGCUUUUGUUUAAUUUUCCUUUUCAAGCGAAUGAAAUAAUUCUUUUUUUGUUAACUCCUUUCCGCUUUCUUGAUUAGACCACUCGAAUGGUUUACCAACGUGAAGGAACUUUCACAUGAAACUUACCCUAACAAAGAAGCAUUAUUAUGUCAUAGAUCAGCGAUGCUUACCACGCCGACCUCCAGCGGAAGUGACUCUCACUGUACUCCAACUCUAAUCUUAAGGUUUACUACACUCGCUGCACGUGCAAAUAAACUCAUUAAGGAUUUCUAGCAGUUAGGACGGUAACGCCAAGGAAGACGUCGAUUUAAAAAUGAAUAUACUUUUAGUUGGAAUUUCGCGACUGACUGGAUGUGUUUACCAUCUCUUCCGGCGCCGAAAGCUAACCUCAGCACAACGUAUGAUAGCGACCAUGAGUUCUAACUAGGAACUUGAAUAAUUUGCCGUCGGGGUUUCCUUUCUUGGACCACGCAAAUUUUGAUGAUUUCACUUUGUUAUUUUGCAGAGGAAAGCUAUGAAGUGUACACAGUUUUAAAACGCACGUGCUGAGCUAUUGUUCUGCUCAUUAUAUCUUUUGUUUUGUCAAGUCCUCGUUACCGUUGCCGUUGUGGUUUGUUAAAGGUCUCUAUUGUCAAUACAAGGCCAUUUUGCUUCAAAAACACUGGACAGUCCACCUCACCAUUAGAGAUAAUUUUCAGUUCUGUUGUAUUUUAACGAUAGUCUCAUUUCUCUGUAUGUAAAAAAAAAUUCAGUUUAGUUAGCUUGCCACUCUCAAUUUUCUCAAAGCUGGGUUUUUACGCUGUUUGUAAUCCUAAGCGCACGGUCUUUUAUUCAAGUUUCCAGAGACUUUUCGAGAGCACACAUAUGCUUAUGAGGUCAGUCAUCGACACAAUCAAAACAUUACCCAAUCAGAGUAGCCCAAAUGCACCGUUGUGUUAUAGUUGACCUUCUGUAGUUUAACCACUUAUUCAUUAGCAAUAGUUUUAAUAAAAUGUCAUAACCGAAAUCGCCCGUAUGGUCCGAAGGAAACUGUAGUAGUAUUAUUCAUAUUACAAAUGACGGAGUAAAAGGCCUUCUCAUGAAGUGUUUUGCGUCAAAUCUCUUCAGUAGCAAGCGUUUUUGUCUUGGUUACAGUUAUUCCUGACGCAGGUGUUCUGGAGAGUUUCACGAAUGGUAUACUUCACGCUGGAGAAUUCUAUUUAAAUAAACAAUGAUAAAAAUA